This 431-nucleotide ribosomal RNA is filed under the name uncultured bacterium. RNAcentral describes it as "bacterial SSU rRNA". It matches the Rfam family "Bacterial small subunit ribosomal RNA", at positions 29 to 507 of the family's 1533-position model. The record is from RNAcentral.
AACGAACGCUGGCGGCAGGCCUAAAACAUGCAAGUCGAACGAACCUUCGGGUUAGUGGCGCACGGGUGAGUAACACGUGGGAAUGUACCUCUGGGUGCGGAACAACGUAGGGAAACUUACGCUAAUACCGCAUAAUGUCUACGGACCAAAGAUUUAUCGCCCAGAGAUCAGCCCGCGCUAGAUUAGGUAGUUGGUGGGGUAACGGCCUACCAAGCCUACGAUCUAUAGCUGGUCUGAGAGGAUGAUCAGCCACACUGGAACUGAGACACGGUCCAGACUCCUACGGGAGGCAGCAGUUAGGAAUAUUGGACAAUGGGGGCAACCCUGAUCCAGCCAUGCCGCGUGUGUGAAGAAGGCCUUAGGGUUGUAAAGCACUUUCGUCCGCGAAGAUAAUGACAGUAACGGAAGAAGAAGCUCCGGCUAAAUUCGUG